UUUAAUUCGAUGCAAAGCGAAGAACCUUACCAGGGCUUGACAUGCCGCGAAUCCUCUUGAAAGAGAGGGUUGCCCUCGGGAACGCGGACACAGGUGGUGCAUGGCCCACGUAUCACUUAGAUGACUUGAGGGA
RNAcentral lists this non-coding RNA (133 nucleotides) under Triticum aestivum (bread wheat). RNAcentral describes it as "Bacterial small subunit ribosomal RNA". It matches the Rfam family "Bacterial small subunit ribosomal RNA", at positions 945 to 1079 of the family's 1533-position model. Lineage: Eukaryota; Viridiplantae; Streptophyta; Magnoliopsida; Poales; Poaceae. RNAcentral also lists the same sequence under 1 other name. The record is from Rfam by way of RNAcentral.